GCGCUAUCUGCAGUCGAGGGGCAUCGCAGGUAGCAAUACUGGGCGGCGACCGGCAAACGGGUGCGGAACACGUACGUAACCUUCCUUUAAGUGGGAGAUAGCCCGAAGAAAUUCGGAUUAAUACCCCAUAAGAUCAUAGAGUGGCAUCACUUAGUGAUUAAAGAAUUUCGCUUAAAGAUGGGCGUGCGGCUGAUUAGGUAGUUGGUGAGGUAACGGCUCACCAAGCCAACGAUCAGUAACUGGCGUGAGAGCGCGACCAGUCACACGGGCACUGAGACACGGGCCCGACUCCUACGGGAGGCAGCAGUAAGGAAUAUUGGUCAAUGGACGGAAGUCUGAACCAGCCAUGCCGCGUGAAGGAUGAAGGUCCUCUGGAUUGUAAACUUCUUUUAUAUGGGAAGAAACCACUUUUAUCUAAAGGUGUUGACGGUACCAUAGGAAUAAGCACCGGCUAACUCCGUGCCAGCAGCCGCGGUAAUACGGAGGGUGCAAGCGUUAUCCGGAUUCACUGGGUUUAAAGGGUGCGUAGGCGGAUUGGUAAGUCCGUGGUGAAAUCUCCGAGCUUAACUCGGAAACUGCCAUGGAUACUAUUAGUCUUGAAUAUUGUGGAGGUUAGCGGAAUAUGUCAUGUAGCGGUGAAAUGCAUAGAUAUGACAUAGAACACCAAUUGCGAAGGCAGCUGGCUACACAAAUAUUGACGCUGAUGCACGAAAGCGUGGGGAUCAAACAGGAUUAGAUACCCUGGUAGUCCACGCCCUAAACGAUGAUUACUCGACAUUUGCGAUAUACAGUAAGUGUCUGAGCGAAAGCAUUAAGUAAUCCACCUGGGAAGUACGACCGCAAGGUUGAA
RNAcentral lists this ribosomal RNA (850 nucleotides) under uncultured bacterium. Its description in RNAcentral is "bacterial SSU rRNA". It matches the Rfam family "Bacterial small subunit ribosomal RNA", at positions 46 to 898 of the family's 1533-position model. The record is from RNAcentral.